This 327-nucleotide ribosomal RNA is filed under the name Salmonella enterica subsp. enterica serovar Infantis. RNAcentral's name for it is "bacterial SSU rRNA". It matches the Rfam family "Bacterial small subunit ribosomal RNA", at positions 87 to 417 of the family's 1533-position model. Lineage: Bacteria; Pseudomonadati; Pseudomonadota; Gammaproteobacteria; Enterobacterales; Enterobacteriaceae. The record is from RNAcentral.
GCUGACGAGUGGCGGACGGGUGAGUAAUGUCUGGGAAACUGCCUGAUGGAGGGGGAUAACUACUGGAAACGGUGGCUAAUACCGCAUAACGUCGCAAGACCAAAGAGGGGGACCUUCGGGCCUCUUGCCAUCAGAUGUGCCCAGAUGGGAUUAGCUGGUUGGUGAGGUAACGGCUCACCAAGGCGACGAUCCCUAGCUGGUCUGAGAGGAUGACCAGCCACACUGGAACUGAGACACGGUCCAGACUCCUACGGGAGGCAGCAGUGGGGAAUAUUGCACAAUGGGCGCAAGCCUGAUGCAGCCAUGCCGCGUGUAUGAAGAAGGCCU